AUCUCCUUAGCUCAACCGGUAGAGCUCAGACACCCACCAUACUACGCUCUGUGAUGUUGGUUCGAAUCCAGCUGGAGGUA
Non-coding RNA from Stereum hirsutum FP-91666 SS1, 80 nucleotides. Lineage: Eukaryota; Fungi; Basidiomycota; Agaricomycetes; Russulales; Stereaceae. The record is from the annotation of a RefSeq genome assembly.